UGGUUUAGAUGUCUGUGGGGUGAUGAGUACAUGUAUGCCACAGCAGACAUGUGAAGAAGAGGAGACGGCCUUCCUACCAUGGGAGGAGGGUGACAGACUCGGGCCAUCGAGUUUGCAGUCAGGCGUUUACUGAGCCAUCCUCCUAGGCCAUGGUGCAGUUUUUCAUUGGUUUUCUUGGUCCUGGAAAUGACAAACUCGAGAUUGCUCUGCCUCUGUCUCCCUCCAAGCACUGGGAUUAUGGGUUUGCAUGGUGAUGCUCAGCUUGAAAGUUGCUUUAACACGGUCUGUUCUAUGUAGUGUUCUUUGAAGUACCUUAGCACUUGGCACUUACUAGGCUCACAGUCAGGUCCAUUGCCCUGGCAACGCAUCUGCAGACCACACAGACUUUUAAAUUGCUCGUAAGUUAAUGUUAACGAUCAGAGUGGCCAGCGUAGAAGUAAGCUUUGGUUCCCUUGUGUUUGAAUGGGAAUUUGAUCUUGUCAGCAUCUAACUUACUUGUUGUCUCCCUUUUGAUUUUAUCCAGUAAACAAAUGAAUCCUUACAUUGAGGAUAUAUUGAAUAGAAUACAGGAUUUAUUAGCCCUUUCUCCACCCGAGAAUGGGUACCAGUCCUUGCUGAGUAGCGACGACCAGCUCUUCAUUUAUGAAACAGCCGGGGCGCUGAUUGU
RNAcentral lists this long non-coding RNA (667 nucleotides) under Rattus norvegicus (Norway rat). RNAcentral's name for it is "long non-coding RNA NONRATT026793". The record is from RNAcentral. Lineage: Eukaryota; Metazoa; Chordata; Mammalia; Rodentia; Muridae.